Molecule: unclassified non-coding RNA, 566 nt
Filed under: Juncus usitatus
Lineage: Eukaryota; Viridiplantae; Streptophyta; Magnoliopsida; Poales; Juncaceae
Description: partial miscellaneous RNA
Source: RNAcentral
AAAAUAAGACAGGACUUUUCUUUCUGUCUUAAUGUAUAAGAAUUGCUGAAGGAAAGAAAAAUACUCAAUAUCUUAACUUGCUCAACUCGAGAUAUUGGGUAUUUUUUCUUGCUUUGUUUGAUUCUUGCUUUGUUUGAUUCCUAUCUAUUUUUUUUUCUUCUUCUUUAUUACCGAUUUAUGAUCGUUACUUUUUCUUGCAUCUCUCGCGAAAGUCCGAGUAGGCGCAAAUUCUCCCAAUUUGUGCCCUAUCAUAGAAUCCGUUAUAUAAAUAGGCAAAUGUUCCUUUCCAUUAUGAAUACCGAUUGUAUGGCCAACCAUUGGCGGGAUAAUGGUAGAUGCUCGAGACCAAGUGAUUAUUAUUUCCUCCCCCUUUUUUAUUUUUUGAAUUUUUUCCGAUAAAUGCUUAGCGACAAAUGUUUUUUUUGCUACAAAUCUUUUUUUUUCACGUAUCACAGCUGAUUAAUCCUUUUUUUUGAUUUGACAUGUUCAAGAUUGGCAUUCUAUCUCCAAUAUCUCGAUCUAAGUAUGGAGGUCCAAAUAAAUACAAUAAUGAGAAGGAAAAAAUC